GUGCCAGCAGCCGCGGUAAUUCCAGCUCCGAUAGCGUAUAUUAAAGUUGUUGUGGUUAAAAAGCUCGUAGUUGAACCUUGGGCCUGGCUGGCCGGUCCGCCUCACCGCGUGCACUGGUCCGGCCGGGCCUUUCCCUCUGUGGAACCCCAUACCCUUCACUGGGCGUGGCGGGGAAACAGGACAUUUACUUUGAAAAAAUUAGAGUGCUCCAGGCAGGCCUAUGCUCGAAUACAUUAGCAUGGAAUAAUAAAAUAGGACGCGCGGUUCUAUUUUGUCGGUUUAUAGGACCGCCGUAAUGAUUAAUAGGGACAGUCGGGGGCAUCAGUAUUCAACUGUCAGAGGUGAAAUUCUUGGAUCAGUUGAAGACUAACUACUGCGAAAGCAUUUGCCAAGGAUGUUUUCAUUAAUCAGGAACGAAAGUUAGGGGAUCGAAGACGAUCAGAUACCGUCGUAGUCUUAACCAUAAACUAUGCCGACUAGGGAUCGGACGGUGUUAUUCAUGACCCGUUCGGCACCUUACGAGAAAUCAAAGUGCUUGGGCUCCAGGGGGAGUAUGGUCGCAAGGCUGAAACUUAAAGAAAUUGACGGAGGGGCACCACCAGGGGUGGAGCCUGCGGCUUAAUUUGACUCAACACGGGGAAACUCACCAGGUCCAGACACAAUAAGGAUUGACAGAUUGAGAGCUCUUUCUUGAUUUUGUGGGUGGUGGUGCAUGGCCGUUCUUAGUUGGUGGGGGUGACUUGUCUGCUUAAUUGCGAUAACGAACGAGACCUUAACCUGCUAAAUAGCCCCGCAUUGCUCCGGCAGUGCGCUGGCCUUCUUAGGAGGGACUUUCG
This 836-nucleotide ribosomal RNA is filed under the name uncultured fungus. RNAcentral's name for it is "SSU rRNA". It matches the Rfam family "Eukaryotic small subunit ribosomal RNA", at positions 564 to 1425 of the family's 1831-position model. Lineage: Eukaryota; Fungi. The record is from RNAcentral.